RNAcentral lists this ribosomal RNA (497 nucleotides) under uncultured bacterium. Its description in RNAcentral is "partial 16S ribosomal RNA". It matches the Rfam family "Bacterial small subunit ribosomal RNA", at positions 28 to 507 of the family's 1533-position model. The record is from RNAcentral.
GAUGAACGCUGGCGGCGUGCCUAAUACAUGCAAGUCGAGCGAACGGACGAGAAGCUUGCUCCUCUGAUGUUAGCGGCGGACGGGUGAGUAACACGUGGAUAACCUACCUAUAAGACUGGGAUAACUUCGGGAAACCGGAGCUAAUACCGGAUAAUAUUUUGAACCGCAUGGUUCAAAAGUGAAAGACGGUCUUGCUGUCACUUAUAGAUGGAUCCGCGCUGCAUUAGCUAGUUGGUAAGGUAACGGCUUACCAAGGCAACGAUGCAUAGCCGACCUGAGAGGGUGAUCGGCCACACUGGAACUGAGACACGGUCCAGACUCCUACGGGAGGCAGCAGUAGGGAAUCUUGCGCAAUGGGCGAAAGCCUGACGGAGCAACGCCGCGUGAGUGAUGAAGGUCUUCGGAUCGUAAAACUCUGUUAUUAGGGAAGAACAUAUGUGUAAGUAACUGUGCACAUCUUGACGGUACCUAAUCAGAAAGCCACGGCUAACUACGUG